Long non-coding RNA from Bos taurus (domestic cattle), 878 nucleotides. The record is from Ensembl. Lineage: Eukaryota; Metazoa; Chordata; Mammalia; Artiodactyla; Bovidae.
CUCCCAGCAUCAGAGUCUUUUCCAGUGAGUCAACUCUUCUCAUGAAGACUAUAAUAUAGACCUGUUUGAAUAUAAUUGCUUUCUAUUUUUUUCAUUUCAUGAACUUAUUCAGGAAGUGUCAAUAUUUAUUUAGCUUUUAAGUACAAAACACUGUGCUGGCACUGGAGAGGAAUACAGAAGUGAAAACUGAGUGAACUGCUACUAAGAAAAAAGAGGAUGAAAUUGUCACUGCUGACAAGGGGCCUGGAUUGGAUCCCAAGUCAAGGAAUUAGAUCCACACGCCACAACUUAAGAGCUCCCAUGCUACAACUAAUGAUCUCACAUACUGCAACUAAGACCUGGCACAGCCAAAUAAAUAAAUGAAUGAAUAUUAAAGCAGAUGUUUGGUGGCUCAGUGGUAAAGAAUUCACCUACAAUGAAGGAGACAUGGAUGAUGUGAAUUCCAUCCCUGGGUCAGGAGGAACCCCUGGAAGAGGAAAUGGCAACUCACUGCAGUAUUAUUGCCUGAGAAAUCCCAUGGACAGAAGAGCCUGGCUUGCUCCAGUUCAUGAAGGUCACAAAGAGCUGAACACGAUUGAGCAACUGAGCACACACAUGCAUAUUAAUAAUAAUUUAUUAUAAUUAAUAAAUCACCUAGAGAUUAUUUAAAUUUCUUUGCUUUACUUUCUACCUUGAAUUCAUCCAUUUGCCUCAAUUACACAAUAAAGUUACUAGAAAUUCAUUCUUUUGUAAUGUUACCAAUAUAAAAUAUGGUUAGGUUCAUUUGUUUCCACUUGUGUUCAAUUAGUGGCAAUAUUCUAUAUCUAAAUUAUUAUUUUUUUUAUUUUUAAACUUUACAUAAUUGUAUUAGUUCUAUAAAGCUCAACAUUCAAGAAACG